GAUCAGACACAGUGCUGAAAGACCAUAUCCGGAGCCACUCUCCUCCGAGGAUCGCAAACAGGAUUAAGUCUCCAAUUCGACUGAGUCCGAGAGUAUGAUUACAAAAUAAAAGUGAUGCACCGGGCUGCAUGAUGGGAUGCAUAGCAGAGCAAAUGCUACUUGUGACUUCAGAAAUGGGUGAAAGGUCCCCCAGUCUGAAAUUUUCCCCCAGUUCUCUCCUCCUCAACACGAACCAGAUGUGUGCUCCCAGGGCUGGACCCUCUCUCUCUUUCUCUCUCUCCCUCUUUGGCUCCCCCUCAGCCCACCCCCACCCUUUG
Plectropomus leopardus (leopard coralgrouper) is the source of this 317-nucleotide non-coding RNA. The record is from RefSeq and is a predicted model, not a curated record. Lineage: Eukaryota; Metazoa; Chordata; Actinopteri; Perciformes; Serranidae.